RNAcentral lists this ribosomal RNA (381 nucleotides) under uncultured eukaryote. RNAcentral describes it as "SSU rRNA". It matches the Rfam family "Eukaryotic small subunit ribosomal RNA", at positions 587 to 972 of the family's 1831-position model. The record is from RNAcentral.
AGCUCCAAUAGCGUAUAUUAAAGUUGUUGCGGUUAAAAGCUCGUAGUUGGAUUUCUGUCGAGGGCGGCCGGUCCGCACUUAGUGCGUGUAUCUGGUUCGGUCUUGGCAUCCUCUUGGGGAACGUUUCUGUGCUUCGUUGCAUGGGACGGGAUUCAAGACUUUUACUUUGAGGAAAUUAGAGUGUUCACGGCAAGCUUUCGCUUUGAAUACAUUAGCAUGGAAUAAUAAUAUAGGGCGUAAGUUCUAUUUUGUUGGUUUCUUAGGACAUACGCAAUGAUUAAUAGGGACAAUUGGGGGCAUUCGUAUUAACACGUCAGAGGUGGAAUUCUUAGAUUGUGUUACGACGAACUACUGCGAAAGCAUUUGCCAAGGAUGUUUUCA